GACGAACGCUGGCGGCGUGCUUAACACAUGCAAGUCGAACGAUGAAGAGAGAAGCUUGCUUUUUUUGGAUUAGUGGCGAACGGGUGAGUAACACGUGAGUAACCUGCCCUUGGCUCUGGGAUAAGCGCUGGAAACGGCGUCUAAUACUGGAUAUAACUUCUUGCCGCAUGGUGGGGGGUGGAAAGAUUUUUUGGCCAUGGAUGGGCUCGCGGCCUAUCAGCUUGUUGGUGGGGUAGUGGCCUACCAAGGCGACGACGGGUAGCCGGCCUGAGAGGGUGACCGGCCACACUGGGACUGAGACACGGCCCAGACUCCUACGGGAGGCAGCAGUGGGGAAUAUUGCACAAUGGGCGAAAGCCUGAUGCAGCAACGCCGCGUGGGGGAUGACGGCCUUCGGGUUGUAAACCUCUUUUGGUAGGGAAGAAGCCGCAAGGUGACGGUACCUGCAGAAAAAGGACCGGCUAACUACGUGCCAGCAGCCGCCG
This 485-nucleotide ribosomal RNA is filed under the name uncultured bacterium. RNAcentral describes it as "bacterial SSU rRNA". It matches the Rfam family "Bacterial small subunit ribosomal RNA", at positions 28 to 520 of the family's 1533-position model. The record is from RNAcentral.